RNAcentral lists this ribosomal RNA (443 nucleotides) under uncultured Bacteroidota bacterium. RNAcentral describes it as "bacterial SSU rRNA". It matches the Rfam family "Bacterial small subunit ribosomal RNA", at positions 51 to 489 of the family's 1533-position model. Lineage: Bacteria; Pseudomonadati; Bacteroidota. The record is from RNAcentral.
AUACAUGCAAGUCGAGGGGUAACAGGAAGUGCUUGCACUUCGCUGACGACCGGCGCACGGGUGAGUACCGCGUAUACAAUCUGCCUCAUACUAGGGAAUAGCCCGAAGAAAUUUGGAUUAAUGCCCUAUAGUAUCUUUUUAAGGCAUCUUAUUAAGAUUAAAGGUUACGGUAUGAGAUGAGUAUGCGUUCUAUUAGCUAGUAGGUGUGGUAAUGGCACACCUAGGCAACGAUAGAUAGGGGCCCUGAGAGGGGGAUCCCCCACACUGGUACUGAGACACGGACCAGACUCCUACGGGAGGCAGCAGUAAGGAAUAUUGGACAAUGGGCGAAAGCCUGAUCCAGCCAUGCCGCGUGCAGGAUGACUGCCCUAUGGGUUGUAAACUGCUUUUAUAUAGGAAGAAAAACUUUCUCGUGAGAAAGCUUGACGGUACUAUAAGAAUAA